UGAGGUGCGAAAGCGUGGGAGCAAACGGGAUAGAUACCCCGGUAGUCACGCCGUAAACGAUGUCUACUAGCCGUUGGAGGACUUGAUCCUUUAGUGGCGCAGCUAACGCGAUAAGUAGACCGCCUGGGGAGUACGGUCGCAAGAUUAAAACUCAAAUGAAUUGACGGGGGCCCGCACAAGCGGUGGAGCAUGUGGUUUAAUUCGAAGCAACGCGAAGAACCUUACCUACUCUUGACAUCCAGUGAACUUUUGAGAGAUCAAUUGGUGCCUUCGGGAACACUGAGACAGGUGCCGCAUGGCUGUCGUCAGCUCGUGUUGUGAAAUGUUGGGUUAAGUCCCGUAACAAGCGCAACCCUUGUCCUUAGUUACCAUCAUUAAGUUGGGGACUCUAAGGAGACUGCCGGUGACAAACCGGAGGAAGGCGGGGACGACGUCAAGUCAUCAUGGCCCUUACGAGUAGGGCUACACACGUGCUACAAUGGCAUGUACAAAGGGUUGCCAAGCCGCGAGGUGGAGCUAAUCCCAUAAAGCAUGUCGUAGUCCGGAUUGGAGUCUGCAACUCGACUCCAUGAAGUCGGAAUCGCUAGUAAUCGUGAAUCAGAAUGUCACGGUGAAUACGUUCCCGGGCCUUGUACACACCGCCCGUCACACCAUGGGAGUGGGUUGCUCCAGAAGUAGAUAGCUUAACCUUCGGGAGGGCGUUUACCACGGAGUGAUUCAUGACUGGGGUGAAGUCGUAACAAGGUAACCGUA
Molecule: ribosomal RNA, 753 nt
Filed under: uncultured bacterium
Lineage: Bacteria
Description: bacterial SSU rRNA
Rfam family: Bacterial small subunit ribosomal RNA
Source: RNAcentral